AUUGAACGCUGGCGGUAUGCUUAACACAUGCAAGUCGAACGGUAACGAUGGAAGCUUGCUUCCAGGCGACGAGUGGCGGACGGGUGAGUAACGCGUAGGAAUCUGCCUAGUAGGGGGGGGUAACUUGUGGAAAUCCGGAUUAAUACCGCAUAAUCUCUACGGAGGAAAAGGGGCCUCUCCUUGGAAGCUCUUGCUAUUAGAUGAGCCCGCGUUAGAUUAGCUAGUUGGUGAGGUAAUGGCUCACCAAGGCUACGAUCUAUAGCUGGUUUGAGAGGAUGAUCAGCCACACUGGGACUGAGACACGGCCCAGACUCCUACGGGAGGCAGCAGUGGGGAAUAUUGGACAAUGGGCGCAAGCCUGAUCCAGCAAUACCGCGUGUGUGAAGAAGGCCUGCGGGUUGUAAAGCACUUUCAAUUGUGAAGAAAAGCUAAAGGUUAAUACCCUUUAGCCUUGACGUUAACUUUAGAAGAAGCACCGGCUAACUCCGUGCCAGCAGCCGCGGUAAUACGGAGGGUGCAAGCGUUAAUCGGAAUUACUGGGCGUAAAGCGUGCGUAGGUGGUUUGUUAAGUCAGAUGUGAAAGCCCCGGGCUCAACCUGGGAACUGCAUUUGAAACUGGCAAACUAGAGUAUAGGAGAGGAAAGUGGAAUUUCUGGUGUAGCGGUGAAAUGCGUAGAUAUCAGAAGGAACAUCAAUGGCGAAGGCAGCUUUCUGGACUAAUACUGACACUGAGGUACGAAAGCGUGGGUAGCAAACAGGAUUAGAUACCCUGGUAGUCCACGCCGUAAACGAUGAUAACUAGCCGUUGGGAGGAUUUACCUUUUAGUGGCGAAGCUAACGCGUUAAGUUAUCCGCCUGGGGAGUACGGCCGCAAGGUUAAAACUCAAAGGAAUUGACGGGGACCCGCACAAGCGGUGGAGCAUGUGGUUUAAUUCGAUGCAACGCGAAGAACCUUACCUGGUCUUGACAUACACGGAAUUUUCCAGAGAUGGAUUGGUGCCUUCGGGAACCGUGAUACAGGUGCUGCAUGGCUGUCGUCAGCUCGUGUCGUGAGAUGUUGGGUUAAGUCCCGUAACGAGCGCAACCCUUAUCCUUAUUUGCCAGCACAUAAUGGUGGGAACUAUAAGGAUACUGCCGGUGAUAAGCCGGAGGAAGGCGGGGACGACGUCAAGUCAUCAUGGCCCUUACGACCAGGGCUACACACGUGCUACAAUGGGAAGAACAAAGGGUCGCUAAGCCGCGAGGUGGUGCUAAUCUCAUAAAUCUUUUCGUAGUCCGGAUCGGAGUCUGCAACUCGACUCCGUGAAGUCGGAAUCGCUAGUAAUCGUGGAUCAGAACGCCACGGUGAAUACGUUCCCGGGUCUUGUACACACCGCCCGUCAUACCAUGGGAGUGGGUUGCACCAGAAGUAGCUAGUCUAACUGUUUACAGGGGACGGUUACCACGGUGUGACUCAUGACUGGGGUAAAGUCGUAACAAGGUAGCCCUACCGGAAGGUGGGGCUGGAUCACCUCCUUA
This 1518-nucleotide ribosomal RNA is filed under the name uncultured prokaryote. RNAcentral describes it as "partial 16S ribosomal RNA". It matches the Rfam family "Bacterial small subunit ribosomal RNA". The record is from RNAcentral.